Molecule: ribosomal RNA, 274 nt
Filed under: uncultured bacterium
Lineage: Bacteria
Description: partial 16S ribosomal RNA
Rfam family: Bacterial small subunit ribosomal RNA
Source: RNAcentral
AUACGGAGGGGGCUAGCGUUGUUCGGAAUUACUGGGCGUAAAGCGUACGUAGGCGGACUGAUCAGUUGGGGGUGAAAUCCCAGGGCUUAACCCUGGAACUGCCUUCAAUACUGUCAGUCUUGAGUAUGGGAGAGGUGAGUGGAAUUCCUAGUGUAGAGGUGAAAUUCAUAGAUAUUAGGAGGAACACCAGUGGCGAAGGCGGCUCACUGGCCCAUUACUGACGCUGAGGUACGAAAGCGUGGGGAGCAAACAGGAUUAGAAACCCCAGUAGUCC